Molecule: ribosomal RNA, 17 nt
Filed under: Eubrownia dissociata
Lineage: Eukaryota; Viridiplantae; Chlorophyta; Chlorophyceae; Chlamydomonadales
Description: partial 26S ribosomal RNA
Source: RNAcentral
ACCCGCUGACUUAGCAU